AGGAUGGCAUCUUGAGAGAACUACGUGCAAUGCGCAGAGAGAUGCGGUUCAUGAAAGGUGAACAACGUCGGACCAAUGCUAGGAUGAUUUCGAUGGCACAUGACCUUGAAGAACUCAAGGAACAUUUUCUGUAGGAGUAUGGGCUGAAGUAAUUACUUCCACCAUAGAUGCAGCUUCUGCAAACUGUUAAGAAACUUUGAGUGCAUUUGUUUCUCCAUGGAUGUUCAUUCAUGUUUAGUAAACUACUUGCUGCAUAAACUGUCCACUGAUGCUGCAUUUUAGCGUGAACCUGAAAAUUCAGAAUCAAUAUUCUAUGACUCAAUGAUGCCAAGCAUAUAUUUCUGUGGCCCUAUGAAUCCUGCUUUGCUAGAGAGAGAUCAGAGAAGGUAUAAAGAGCAAGGUACUGUAAAUGUCUCUUUUUGAUUACAAUUCCAAGAAUCCCAAUGGAUUGCAGUUUGCUGUAGCCAUGCUGACUGAGAAAUUCUGGGAGCUUACUGUUUCAAGUCCUAUUCAAAAGUCACUAUUUCAAACUAUUUUAUGAAAAAUUUGCACACAUCCACUAGGUCAGUGGUUCUCAACCUGGGGGCCGUGUACCUAGAGGGGUCGAUUGUGGUUUGAGAGGGGUUGUGUCACCACGCCCUUUGGCCUGCCUCCUCUGCCUCCCCAGAAUGGCUGCUGGGUCCCCUCUGCCAACCAAACAGCCAGAUAGCAUCCAUGUCCACAGUGCUUCAUCUCUUUCUUUAUCUUUCCUCCUCCAGGUCGGCACGGAGGGGCUCCUCCUCCUUUUUCUCCAGUGGGAUGGCGAGGAGUCAUGGGAGGUGCUUGGAGAUAGAGGUGCACAUGGUGGGAGGAGGCAGGUCUCCCCUCUCCUCCCCCUUUUCUUCUCUUUCCCUUUUUCUUUUUCUUACCUCUUCCAGGUUGGCACGAAGGGGCUCCUCUUCCUCUAGUGGGAUGGUGAGGAGUCACAGGAGGUGCUUGGAGGCAGAGGUGCAUGCGGCGGGAGGAGGUGCACCCUCUUUCCCCCCUCUAUCCCUCCCUUUUCUAUUGAUAAUUCUUACUCUUCUCUUUACUCCUCUGUCUUCCUCCCUUUCACACCUCCCUUUCUUUCUAUCCCUCCCUUUUCUCUUUCUGUCACUAUCCCUUUCCUUUUCCUUCUCUCUUGCUUUAUAUCUUUCUUCCCUUUCUCUUUCUCUCUUGUGCCUCUUUCUCCCUUCCCUUUCUUAUUUCUUUCCUCCUCUUUCUUCCUUCUCUUUCUCUCUCUUGUGCCUCUCUUUUUAUCUUUCCUUCUGGAGCCGCCCAACAUAG
This 1305-nucleotide long non-coding RNA is filed under the name Anolis carolinensis (green anole). RNAcentral describes it as "lncRNA (ENSACAG00000045074.1)". The record is from RNAcentral. Lineage: Eukaryota; Metazoa; Chordata; Lepidosauria; Squamata; Anolidae.